This 651-nucleotide ribosomal RNA is filed under the name Flavobacterium sp. E6FA6. RNAcentral's name for it is "bacterial SSU rRNA". It matches the Rfam family "Bacterial small subunit ribosomal RNA", at positions 139 to 788 of the family's 1533-position model. The record is from RNAcentral. Lineage: Bacteria; Pseudomonadati; Bacteroidota; Flavobacteriia; Flavobacteriales; Flavobacteriaceae.
AGGGAUAGCCCAGAGAAAUUUGGAUUAAUACCUCAUAGUAUAUUACUCUCGCAUGAGAUUAUUAUUAAAGAUUUAUCGGUGAAAGAUGAGCAUGCGUCCCAUUAUUUAGUUGGUAAGGUAACGGCUUACCAAGACUACAAUGGGUAGGGGUCCUGAGAGGGAGAUCCCCCACACUGGUACUGAGACACGGACCAGACUCCUACGGGAGGCAGCAGUGAGGAAUAUUGGACAAUGGGCGCAAGCCUGAUCCAGCCAUGCCGCGUGCAGGAUGACGGUCCUAUGGAUUGUAAACUGCUUUUAUACGAGAAGAAACACUAGUUCGUGAACUAGCUUGACGGUAUCGUAAGAAUAAGGAUCGGCUAACUCCGUGCCAGCAGCCGCGGUAAUACGGAGGAUCCAAGCGUUAUCCGGAAUCAUUGGGUUUAAAGGGUCCGUAGGCGGUCAGAUAAGUCAGUGGUGAAAGCCCAUCGCUCAACGGUGGAACGGCCAUUGAUACUGUCUGACUUGAAUUAUUAGGAAGUAACUAGAAUAUGUAGUGUAGCGGUGAAAUGCUUAGAGAUUACAUGGAAUACCAAUUGCGAAGGCAGGUUACUACUAAUAUAUUGACGCUGAUGGACGAAAGCGUGGGUAGCGAACAGGAUUAGAUACCCU